UGCGUAGGUGGCGCGCUAAGUCGGGUGUGAAAUCCCGGGGCUUAACCUCGGGACUGCAUUCGAUACUGGCGUGCUUGAGGACUGGAGAGGAGACUGGAAUUCAUGGUGUAGCAGUGAAAUGCGUAGAGAUCAUGAGGAAGACCAGUGGCGAAGGCGGGUCUCUGGACAGUUCCUGACACUGAGGCACCAAGGGGCCAGGGGAGGCAAACG
RNAcentral lists this ribosomal RNA (210 nucleotides) under uncultured bacterium. RNAcentral's name for it is "partial 16S ribosomal RNA". It matches the Rfam family "Bacterial small subunit ribosomal RNA", at positions 568 to 775 of the family's 1533-position model. The record is from RNAcentral.